AACGAACGCUGGCGGCAGGCCUAACACAUGCAAGUCGAGCGCCCUCUUCGGAGGGAGCGGCGGACGGGUUAGUAACGCGUGGGAACGUGCCUCUCUCUUGGGAAUAGCCAUUGGAAACGAUGAUUAAUGCCCGAUACGCCCUUUGGGGGAAAGAUUUAUCGGAGAGAGAUCGGCCCGCGUUAGAUUAGUUAGUUGGUGGGGUAACGGCUUACCAAGACGACGAUCUAUAGCUGGUUUGAGAGGAUGAUCAGCAACACUGGGACUGAGACACGGCCCAGACUCCUACGGGAGGCAGCAGUGGGGAAUCUUAGACAAUGGGCGCAAGCCUGAUCUAGCCAUGCCGCGUGAGUGAAGAAGGCCUUAGGGUCGUAAAGCUCUUUCGCCUGUGAAGAUAAUGACGGUAGCAGGUAAAGAACCCCCGGCUAAACUCCGUGCCAGCGCCGCGGUAA
This 449-nucleotide ribosomal RNA is filed under the name uncultured bacterium. Its description in RNAcentral is "bacterial SSU rRNA". It matches the Rfam family "Bacterial small subunit ribosomal RNA", at positions 29 to 523 of the family's 1533-position model. The record is from RNAcentral.